Molecule: transfer RNA, 119 nt
Filed under: Collariella sp. IMI 366227
Lineage: Eukaryota; Fungi; Ascomycota; Sordariomycetes; Sordariales; Chaetomiaceae
Description: tRNA-His
Rfam family: tRNA
About the family: Transfer RNA (tRNA) molecules are approximately 80 nucleotides in length.
Source: RNAcentral
GGGUGACUAGUCUAGUGGUCAGGACGCUUCGUUGUGGGAUUUGCCUAAAAACGGGCGCCCUUUGGAAUCAAUGAUUCCCAACGACCGAAGAAACCCCGGUUCGAUUCCGGGGUCGCCCA